CCUGCACGAAUGGCGUAAUGAUGGCCAGGCUGUCUCCACCCGAGACUCAGUGAAAUUGAACUCGCUGUGAAGAUGCAGUGUACCCGCGGCAAGACGGAAAGACCCCGUGAACCUUUACUAUAGCUUGACACUGAACAUUGAGCCUUGAUGUGUAGGAUAGGUGGGAGGCUUUGAAGUGUGGACGCCAGUCUGCAUGGAGCCGACCUUGAAAUACCACCCUUUAAUGUUUGAUGUUCUAACGUUGACCCGUAAUCCGGGUUGCGGACAGUGUCUGGUGGGUAGUUUGACUGGGGCGGUCUCCUCCUAAAGAGUAACGGAGGAGCACGAAGGUUGGCUAAUCCUGGUCGGACAUCAGGAGGUUAGUGCAAUGGCAUAAGCCAGCUUGACUGCGAGCGUGACGGCGCGAGCAGGUGCGAAAGCAGGUCAUAGUGAUCCGGUGGUUCUGAAUGGAAGGGCCAUCGCUCAACGGAUAAAAGGUACUCCGGGGAUAACAGGCUGAUACCGCCCAAGAGUUCAUAUCGACGGCGGUGUUUGGCACCUCGAUGUCGGCUCAUCACAUCCUGGGGCUGAAGUAGGUCCCAAGGGUAUGGCUGUUCGCCAUUUAAAGUGGUACGCGAGCUGGGUUUAGAACGUCGUGAGACAGUUCGGUCCCUAUCUGCCGUGGGCGCUGGAGAACUGAGGGGGGCUGCUCCUAGUACGAGAGGACCGGAGUGGACGCAUCACUGGUGUUCGGGUUGUCAUGCCAAUGGCACUGCCCGGUAGCUAAAUGCGGAAGAGAUAAGUGCUGAAAGCAUCUAAGCACGAAACUUGCC
This 812-nucleotide ribosomal RNA is filed under the name Escherichia coli. RNAcentral's name for it is "partial 23S ribosomal RNA". It matches the Rfam family "Bacterial large subunit ribosomal RNA", at positions 1987 to 2798 of the family's 2925-position model. The record is from RNAcentral. Lineage: Bacteria; Pseudomonadati; Pseudomonadota; Gammaproteobacteria; Enterobacterales; Enterobacteriaceae.